Molecule: ribosomal RNA, 495 nt
Filed under: uncultured bacterium
Lineage: Bacteria
Description: partial 16S ribosomal RNA
Rfam family: Bacterial small subunit ribosomal RNA
Source: RNAcentral
GAUGAACGCUGGCGGCGUGCCUAAUACAUGCCAGUCGAGCGAACAGACGAGGAGCUUGCUCCUCUGACGUUAGCGGCGGACGGGUGAGUAACACGUGGAUAACCUACCUAUAAGACUGGGAUAACUUCGGGAAACCGGAGCUAAUACCGGAUAAUAUAUUGAACCGCAUGGUUCAAUAGUGAAAGACGGUUUUGCUGUCACUUAUAGAUGGAUCCGCGCCGCAUUAGCUAGUUGGUAAGGUAACGGCUUACCAAGGCAACGAUGCGUAGCCGACCUGAGAGGGGGUGCGCCAACACUGAAACUGAGACACGUCCCAGACCCCAAGGGGGGGCAGCAGUGGGAAAUCUUCCGAAAGGGGCGAAAGCCUGACGGAGAAACGCCGGGUGAAUGAAGAAGGUCUGCGGUUCGAAAAACUCUGUUAUUGGGGAAAAAAAAAUGGGUAAGAAACUAUGCACGUCUUGACGGUCCAAAAUCAGAAAGCCCCGGCUAACUACG